GGUAGCGUGGCCGAGUGGUUAUGGCGCUGCGUUUAGGAUUCCUAAAUUUUACAGUUCCGCAGUGGGAAACCGCGCGAGUUCGAACCUCGUCGCUGCCA
Molecule: non-coding RNA, 98 nt
Organism: Microstroma glucosiphilum
Lineage: Eukaryota; Fungi; Basidiomycota; Exobasidiomycetes; Microstromatales; Microstromataceae
Source: the annotation of a RefSeq genome assembly